This 1490-nucleotide ribosomal RNA is filed under the name uncultured bacterium. RNAcentral's name for it is "bacterial SSU rRNA". It matches the Rfam family "Bacterial small subunit ribosomal RNA". The record is from RNAcentral.
AGAGUUUGAUCCUGGCUCAGGAUGAACGCUAGCGGGAGGCUUAACACAUGCAAGUCGAGCGGUAUUGACCUUCGGGUCGAGAGAGCGGCGCACGGGUGCGUAACGCGUAUGCAACCUGCCUUAUGCAGGGGGAUAGCCCGGGGAAACCCGGAUUAAUACCCCAUAGAUCAGUAGUAUCGCAUGGUACAAUUGGUAAAGAUUCAUUGGCAUAAGAUGGGCAUGCGUCUGAUUAGCUAGUUGGUAGGGUAACGGCCUACCAAGGCGACGAUCAGUAGGGGUUCUGAGAGGAUUAUCCCCCACACUGGUACUGAGACACGGACCAGACUCCUACGGGAGGCAGCAGUGAGGAAUAUUGGUCAAUGGGCGCAAGCCUGAACCAGCCAUCCCGCGUGAAGGAUGAAUGCCUUAUGGGUUGUAAACUUCUUUUGUACCUGAAGAAACUCUGGGUCGUGACCUGGACUGCCGGUAGGGUACGAAUAAGCAUCGGCUAACUCCGUGCCAGCAGCCGCGGUAAUACGGAGGAUGCAAGCGUUAUCCGGAUUUAUUGGGUUUAAAGGGUGCGCAGGUGGUUAAAUAAGUCAGUGGUGAAAGUCUGCCGCUUAACGGUAGGAUUGCCAUUGAUACUGUUUAACUUGAGUUUAGGUGAGGUAGGCGGAAUGUGUAGUGUAGCGGUGAAAUGCAUAGAUAUUACACAGAACACCGAUUGCGAAGGCAGCUUACUAAUCUACAACUGACACUGAGGCACGAAAGCGUGGGGAUCAAACAGGAUUAGAUACCCUGGUAGUCCACGCUGUAAACGAUGAUCACUCGCUGUUUGCGAUAUACAGUAAGCGGCUAAGCGAAAGCGAUAAGUGAUCCACCUGGGGAGUACGAUCGCAAGGUUGAAACUCAAAGGAAUUGACGGGGGCCCGCACAAGCGGAGGAACAUGUGGUUUAAUUCGACGCAACGCGCAGAACCUUACCUGGUCUUGACAUCCUCGGAAUCCUGCAGAGAUGCGGGAGUGCCUUCGGGAAUCGGAACACAGGUGCUGCAUGGCUGUCGUCAGCUCGUGUCGUGAGAUGUUGGGUUAAGUCCCGCAACGAGCGCAACCCUUGUCCUUAGUUGCCAGCACGUAAUGGUGGGAACUCUAAGGAGACUGCCGGUGACAAACCGGAGGAAGGUGGGGAUGACGUCAAGUCAUCAUGGCCCUUACGACCAGGGCUACACACGUACUACAAUGGGAGGUACAGAGGGCAGCGAAGCCGCGAGGCGAAGCCAAUCCCAGAAAACCUCUCUCAGUCCGGAUCGGAGUCUGCAACUCGACUCCGUGAAGUCGGAAUCGCUAGUAAUCGCGAAUCAGCAUUGUCGCGGUGAAUACGUUCCCGGGCCUUGUACACACCGCCCGUCACACCAUGGGAGUUGGUUGCUCCAGAAGUAGGUAGUCUAACCGCAAGGGGGACGCUUACCACGGAGUGGUCAAUGACUGGGGUGAAGUCGUAACAAGGUAUCC